CCAACGGCCCUCGUUAGGGCCACAUAAGACUGAAUUAAACGUCCCAG
Molecule: non-coding RNA, 47 nt
Organism: Enterobius vermicularis (human pinworm)
Lineage: Eukaryota; Metazoa; Nematoda; Chromadorea; Rhabditida; Oxyuridae
Source: Rfam